This 796-nucleotide ribosomal RNA is filed under the name uncultured Pseudomonadota bacterium. Its description in RNAcentral is "bacterial SSU rRNA". It matches the Rfam family "Bacterial small subunit ribosomal RNA", at positions 28 to 873 of the family's 1533-position model. The record is from RNAcentral. Lineage: Bacteria; Pseudomonadati; Pseudomonadota.
AACGAACGCUGGCGGCAGGCCUAACACAUGCAAGUCGAGCGCAUCUUCGGAUGAGCGGCGGACGGGUGAGUAACGCGUGGGAACGUGCCCUUCGGUGGGGAACAACAGUUGGAAACGACUGCUAAUGCCCCAUACGCCCUUUGGGGGAAAGAUUUAUCGCCGAGGGAUCGGCCCGCGUUGGAUUAGGUAGUUGGUGGGGUAACGGCCCACCAAGCCGACGAUCCAUAGCUGGUUUGAGAGGAUGACCAGCCACACUGGGACUGAGACACGGCCCAGACUCCUACGGGAGGCAGCAGUGGGGAAUCAUAGACAAUGGGCGCAAGCCUGAUCUUGCCAUGCCGCGUGGACGAUGAAGGCCUUAGGGUUGUAAAGUCCUUUCACCCGUGACGAUAAUGACGGUAGCGGGAGAAGAAGCCCCGGCUAACUCCGUGCCAGCAGCCGCGGUAAUACGGAGGGGGCUAGCGUUGUUCGGAAUUACUGGGCGUAAAGCGCGCGUAGGCGGGCAUUUAAGUCGGGGGUGAAAUCCCGGGGCUCAACCCCGGAACUGCCUUCGAUACUGGGUGCCUAGAGGUCGAGAGAGGUGAGUGGAAUGGCGAGUGUAGAGGUGAAAUUCGUAGAUAUUCGCCGGAACACCAGUGGCGAAGGCGGCUCACUGGCUCGAUACUGACGCUGAGGUGCGAAAGUGUGGGGAGCAAACAGGAUUAGAUACCCUGGUAGUCCACACCGUANACGAUGAAUGCCAGACGUCGGGCAGCAUGCUGUUCGGUGUCGCAGCUAACGCAUUAAGCAUUCCGCC